RNAcentral lists this ribosomal RNA (495 nucleotides) under uncultured bacterium. RNAcentral's name for it is "partial 16S ribosomal RNA". It matches the Rfam family "Bacterial small subunit ribosomal RNA", at positions 30 to 507 of the family's 1533-position model. The record is from RNAcentral.
UGACCGCUGGCGGCGUGCCUACUACAUGCAAGUCGAGCGAACAGACGAGGAGCUUGCUCCUCUGACGUUAGCGGCGGACGGGUGAGUAACACGUGGAUAACCUACCUAUAAGACUGGGAUAACUUCGGGAAACCGGAGCUAAUACCGGAUAAUAUAUUGAACCGCAUGGUUCAAUAGUGAAAGACGGUUUUGCUGUCACUUAUAGAUGGAUCCGCGCCGCAUUAGCUAGUUGGUAAGGUAACGGCUUACCAAGGCAACGAUGCGUAGCCGACCUGAGAGGGUGAUCGGCCACACUGGAACUGAGACACGGUCCAGACUCCUACGGGAGGCAGCAGUAGGGAAUCUUCCGCAAUGGGCGAAAGCUUGACGGAGCAACGCCGCGUGAGUGAUGAAGGUCUUCGGAUCGUAAAACUCUGUUAUUAGGGAAGAACAAAUGUGUAAGUAACUAUGCACGUCUUGACGGUACCUAAUCAGAAAGCCACGGCUAACUACGUG